This is a long non-coding RNA of Uranotaenia lowii, 453 nucleotides long. RefSeq lists it as uncharacterized. NCBI's taxonomy places the organism in Eukaryota, Metazoa, Arthropoda, Insecta, Diptera, Culicidae. The transcript is spliced from 3 exons. The record is from RefSeq and is a predicted model, not a curated record.
CGUGUGCACUAUUUAAAUCCCUGAAGCUGACAUAACGUUGGCUACACAUUUUGUGAUUCUACGAGAGUGUCAAGAUGAUGCUAAACAGAAGCGAAUUUUUGUUAAUUUUUGCUGCCCUCAUUCCAAGCCUGUUUAUCACGCUUUGUAACGCUCUGCCAGAAGAAGACGAACCACCAUGGCCGGCCAUGGAGUUUUUUAAGCGUUCAGCAGCACAAAAUGGCUUAACGUUACCGGAACAAAAUUCAACCAAUCCCACCAAGGUUAAGCGUGAUGCAGUGAGGUCCCUGUUUUUACGGAGACUCCGAUCCCCGGGUUUUGAAUGUGUGCAAGGAACAAGGUCAAAGAUGUGUUACAAUAAGGAUACAGGCGAAAUGGUACUGCAUCGUAUCAACGAAGGUGGUCGAGUAGGAAGGUAGCAUCCAGUGUGUUCGUUGCUGCUUUGCAAUAAAUGUU